GGAGGCCUAGUACUGGCUUUCUGUGCGUGUUAGUUCUCUUUUUUUUGUAUACUGCAAUAAUCUCUUUCAUUUUUCUUUCUUUUGAAAUAGGUUUAGGUACUGUACUUAAUGCUGAACAGUGGCAAAUUGUGUCAUGGCAUUGUGAUGAAGACAAAUACUUUGAGGAGAGGAGAAAUCUGAAAUUUUCACUUGCAUACUGAACUCUGAAGAGACGAAAGGCUUACCAUCAGUGGGCUCUGGAGAACUUCUGUCAGCUGGCUUUGCUCAGCAGAAGAUCCUUGCAGUCUCAUGAAAGGAACUGUUCUUGGACAACGUCCAAUUUUUAUUCAGGCCAUAUGCAAAGUCCUCAAAAAUAUCCUUUCCAAAUGCAUGUCGCUAUAUGGAUUUCUGGUUAUUGGAUGCUUCAGGUAAGUUUUAAGAAAGGCUGGUUUGCUAUUUCUAUUGGGAAAGUAGCGUACUUGU
This 462-nucleotide long non-coding RNA is filed under the name Struthio camelus australis. RNAcentral's name for it is "lncRNA (ENSSCUG00000011912.1)". Lineage: Eukaryota; Metazoa; Chordata; Aves; Struthioniformes; Struthionidae. The record is from RNAcentral.